GUCUCAUCCUGUGACUUAGAAUGCCUAACCAUCUGGGAAUGCAGCCCAGUAGAUCUCAGCCUCAUUUUACCAAGCCCCUAUUCAAGAUAGAGUUACUCUGUGUGGUUCCUAUGC
Long non-coding RNA from Sapajus apella (tufted capuchin), 114 nucleotides. RefSeq lists it as uncharacterized. NCBI's taxonomy places the organism in Eukaryota, Metazoa, Chordata, Mammalia, Primates, Cebidae. The record is from RefSeq and is a predicted model, not a curated record. The transcript has 3 exons.